GAUGAACGCUGGCGGCGUGCUUAACACAUGCAAGUCGAACGAAGCAUUUAGAACAGAUUAUUUCGGUACGAAGUUGUUUAUGACUGAGUGGCGGACGGGUGAGUAACGCGUGGGUAACCUGCCUUGUACUGGGGGAUAGCAGCUGGAAACGGCUGGUAAUACCGCAUAAGCGCACGGUGCUGCAUGGCACAGCGUGAAAAACUCCGGUGGUAUAAGAUGGACCCGAGUCUGAUUAGCUAGUUGGUGAGAUAACAGCCCACCAAGGCGACGAUCAGUAGCCGACCUGAGAGGGUGACCGGCCACAUUGGGACUGAGACACGGCCCAGACUCCUACGGGAGGCAGCAGUGGGGAAUAUUGCACAAUGGAGGAAACUCUGAUGCAGCGACGCCGCGUGAGUGAAGAAGUAAUUCGUUAUGUAAAGCUCUAUCAGCAGGGAAGAUAGUGACGGUACCUGACUAAGAAGCUCCGGCUAAAUACGUGCCAGCAGCCGCCGUAA
RNAcentral lists this ribosomal RNA (497 nucleotides) under uncultured bacterium. Its description in RNAcentral is "partial 16S ribosomal RNA". It matches the Rfam family "Bacterial small subunit ribosomal RNA", at positions 28 to 523 of the family's 1533-position model. The record is from RNAcentral.